AGUCACUGACAUUAGAUACCCCCGGUAGUCCAGGGUGUAAACGCUGCAGACUUGGUGUUGGAGGCCCUUUGGGGGCAUUCAGUGCCGGAGAGAAGUUGUUAAGUCUGCUACUUGGGGAGUACGUCCGCAAGGAUGAAACUUAAAGGAAUUGGCGGGGGAGCAUCGCAACGGGAGGAGCGUGCGGUUUAAUUGGAUUCAACACCGUAAAACUCACCAGGGAAGACUGUUACAUGAAGGCCGAGAUGAAGACUCUGCUAGAUUUUCAG
This 266-nucleotide ribosomal RNA is filed under the name uncultured archaeon. RNAcentral describes it as "partial 16S ribosomal RNA". It matches the Rfam family "Archaeal small subunit ribosomal RNA", at positions 715 to 982 of the family's 1478-position model. The record is from RNAcentral.